CGACCCCAGGUCAGGCGGGGUUACCCGCUGAAUUUAAGCAUAUC
RNAcentral lists this ribosomal RNA (44 nucleotides) under Rubus caesius x Rubus idaeus. RNAcentral's name for it is "partial 26S ribosomal RNA". The record is from RNAcentral. Lineage: Eukaryota; Viridiplantae; Streptophyta; Magnoliopsida; Rosales; Rosaceae.